UAGGGAAUCUUCGGCAAUGGACGAAAGUCUGACCGAGCAACGCCGCGUGAGUGAUGAAGGUUUUCGGAUCGUAAAACUCUGUUGCCAGGGAAGAAUGGUUAGGCGAGUAACUGCGCUUGAUUUGACGGUACCUGAGAAGAAAGCCCCGGCUAACUACGUGCCAGCAGCCGCGGUAAUACGUAGGGGGCAAGCGUUGUCCGGAAUUAUUGGGCGUAAAGCGCGCGCAGGCGGUCAUUUAAGUCUGGUGUAUAAACCAAAGGCUCAACCUAUGGACGCAUUGGAAACUGGGUGACUGGAGUGUAGGAGAGGAAAGUGGAAUUCCACGUGUAGCGGUGAAAUGCGUAGAGAUGUGGAGGAACACCAGUGGCGAAGGCGACUUUCUGGCCUAUAACUGACGCUGAGGCGCGAAAGCGUGGGGAGCAAACA
This 426-nucleotide ribosomal RNA is filed under the name uncultured Paenibacillus sp. RNAcentral describes it as "bacterial SSU rRNA". It matches the Rfam family "Bacterial small subunit ribosomal RNA", at positions 355 to 774 of the family's 1533-position model. Lineage: Bacteria; Bacillati; Bacillota; Bacilli; Caryophanales; Paenibacillaceae. The record is from RNAcentral.